UCGGGAUAGCUCAGCCGGUAGAGCAGAGGA
This 30-nucleotide transfer RNA is filed under the name Batesia floribunda. RNAcentral describes it as "partial tRNA-Phe". RNAcentral also lists the same sequence under 1 other name. The record is from RNAcentral. Lineage: Eukaryota; Viridiplantae; Streptophyta; Magnoliopsida; Fabales; Fabaceae.